UUUACUGUUACAAAGUAUUAAAUGGCAUAUAAUGGUCUAAAUCAAGCCCAGUAUGAACAUCAGGAGUGACAUUUCUUUUUCUGACAUAUGCAUACAGGCUUUUGGAAGAAAUGUAAUUAUUUACUAUUAAUAGAGAUUUCAAAGAAAUCAGUUCACAACGAUUCUGACGACAUCAAGAACAGAAGCCCAACUUUGCCACUACUGGUAUCUCCUUGGGGGAAGAUAGAUGAAGGGCAACAUGGAGUCAUUUAGAAAACGUACAUGUGCACUGAAGCCCUGGAAUGAAAUUGGAAAACAGUCUCAGAAGAGAGUUAUUCAAAGGAGUAGUGUCUUGAAAAGUACUGUUUUGAAUCCAGAGAAGAGCUUUGGGAAAAGGAAAAAAAAAAAUCUCUUCAGAGAACAAAG
Molecule: long non-coding RNA, 405 nt
Organism: Cervus elaphus (red deer)
Lineage: Eukaryota; Metazoa; Chordata; Mammalia; Artiodactyla; Cervidae
Exons: 4
Source: RefSeq, a predicted model, not a curated record